Molecule: ribosomal RNA, 497 nt
Filed under: uncultured bacterium
Lineage: Bacteria
Description: partial 16S ribosomal RNA
Rfam family: Bacterial small subunit ribosomal RNA
Source: RNAcentral
GAUGAACGCUGGCGGCGUGCCUAAUACAUGCAAGUCGAACGAACAGACGAGGAGCUUGCUCCUCUGACGUUAGCGGCGGACGGGUGAGUAACACGUGGAUAACCUACCUAUAAUACUGGGAUAACUUCGGGACACCGGCGCUAAUACCGGAUAAUAUAUUGAACCGCAUGGUUCAAUAGUGAAAGACGGUUUUGCUGUCACUUAUAGAUGGAUCCGCGCCGCAUUAGCUAGUUGGUAAGGUAACGGCUUACCAAGGCAACUAGGCGUAGCCGACCUGAGAGAGUGAUAGGCGACACGAGAGCGGGGACACGGUCCAGGCUCCUACGAGAGGCAGCAGUAGCGAAUCGUCCGCAGUAGGGGAAAGCCUGACGGAGCAACGCGGCGUGAGUGAUGAAGGUCUUGGGAUCGUAAAACUCUGUUAUUAGGGAAGAACAAAUGUGUAAGUAACUAAGCACUUAGUGACGGUACCUGAUCAGAAAGCCACGGCUAACUACGUG